Molecule: ribosomal RNA, 497 nt
Filed under: uncultured bacterium
Lineage: Bacteria
Description: partial 16S ribosomal RNA
Rfam family: Bacterial small subunit ribosomal RNA
Source: RNAcentral
GAUGAACGCUGGCGGCGUGCCUAAUACAUGCAAGUCGAGCGAACAGACGAGGAGCUUGCUCCUCUGAUGUUAGUGGCGGACGGGUGAGUAACACGUGGAUAACCUACCUAUAAGACUGGGAUAACUUCGGGAAACCGGAGCUAAUACCGGAUAACAUGUUGAACCGCAUGGUUCAACAGUGAAAGACGGUCUUGCUGUCACUUAUAGAUGGAUCCGCGCCGCAUUAGCUAGUUGGUAAGGUAACGGCUUACCAAGGCAACGAUGCGUAGCCGACCUGAGAGGGUGAUCGGCCACACUGGAACUGAGACACGGUCCAGACUCCUACGGGAGGCAGCAGUAGGGAAUCUUCCGCAAAGGGCGAAAGCCUGACGGAGCAACGCCGCGUGAGUGAAGAAGGUCUUCGGAUCGUAAAACUCUGUUAUUAGGGAAGAACAAAUGUGUAAGUAACUAUGCACGUCUUGACGGUACCUAAUCAGAAAGCCACGGCUAACUACGUG